This 93-nucleotide microRNA precursor is filed under the name Echinops telfairi (small Madagascar hedgehog). RNAcentral's name for it is "miRNA (ENSETEG00000024648.1)". The record is from RNAcentral. Lineage: Eukaryota; Metazoa; Chordata; Mammalia; Afrosoricida; Tenrecidae.
CUUACUUGUUCUUACCUUGGUGCUCAGGCAGCAGCAGGCUCUGUAGAGGCAAGCUUGUGACUCCUCUGAUCACACAGGAGACAGAGAGGUGGA